Camelina sativa (false flax) is the source of this 246-nucleotide non-coding RNA. NCBI's taxonomy places the organism in Eukaryota, Viridiplantae, Streptophyta, Magnoliopsida, Brassicales, Brassicaceae. The record is from RefSeq and is a predicted model, not a curated record.
CACCACUUUUGAUUGGUUGUGAUGUAAGAAAUAUGACCGAGGAAACUUUUGAGAUUUUGAGCAAUAAGGAAGUUAUCGCUGUUAACCAAGACCCACUUGGUGUUCAAGGAAGGAAAAUUUAAGCCAAUGGAGAUGAUAAUUGUCAGCAGGUGUGGUCUGGACCUUUAACUGGUGACCGUAUGGUAAUCGCUCUCUGGAACCGUUGCUCUGAGCCUGCAACCAUUACAGCAUCAUGGGGGUUGAAUA